RNAcentral lists this ribosomal RNA (531 nucleotides) under Aulacaspis alisiana. RNAcentral describes it as "eukaryotic LSU rRNA". Lineage: Eukaryota; Metazoa; Arthropoda; Insecta; Hemiptera; Diaspididae. The record is from RNAcentral.
AUCUGGGCGGCGGAAUUCAGGACGGUCGGGCGGGCUUCGCGCUCGUCGGGCCGUUUGAUAUUUCCGUCGCCGUGUCAGACGUCGCGACCUGUUCGUCGUCGGUCCUUGCUCGGAGGAAGCGCGAUCGAGUUCGUUGCGGGCGCGUUUCGGCGCGUUCCGCGGCGAAGACGCGACUCUCUGGCUGACGACGGACAGUAAGCAACGGUGUCUGGCGUCGUGUCUCGCACUCGACGUCGGUGCCGGUCGGCGACGAUUUCUUCGGGCCUCUUUCCGACCCGUCUUGAAACACGGACCAAGGAGUCUAACAUGCGCGCGAGUCGCGGGGUUUCGAGCGUGCCACGGUGCGCUCGUUACUUCCGAAACCCGUACGUUGAAGGCGUAAUGAAAGUGAACAGGGAAGAUGGCGUUCCGAGUCCACGUACCGUGAUCGAGUAUCGCGGCCGGACGUCCGCACUCCCGGGGCGUCUCAAUGGCUCGCCACGGAUGCGGACGGUCGUCUUUCGGGGCGGCCGUCGGUCUGUGGCGGUCCGA